Molecule: ribosomal RNA, 463 nt
Filed under: uncultured bacterium
Lineage: Bacteria
Description: partial 16S ribosomal RNA
Rfam family: Bacterial small subunit ribosomal RNA
Source: RNAcentral
CUACGGGGCGCUCCAGUGGGGAAUAUUGCACAAUGGGCGCAAGCCUGAUGCAGCGACGCCGCGUGGAGGAUGAAGGCUUUCGAGUUGUAAACUCCUGUUAAGUGGGAAGAAAGAGUUCGGGUUAAUACCCCGAAAAGAUGACGGUACCACUAGAGAAAGCACCGGCAAACUUCGUGCCAGCAGCCGCGGUAAUACGAAGGGUGCGAGCGUUAUUCGGAGUUACUGGGCGUAAAGAGCAUGUAGGCGGUUUAUUAAGUCAGUCGUUAAAUUUCACGGCUUAACUGUGAUUAUGCGGCUGAACUGGUUGACUAGAGCAUAGAAGAGAGAAGUGGAAUUCCCGGAGUAGCGGUAAAAUGCGUAGAUCUCGGGAGGAACACCGGUUGCGAAGGCGGCUUCUUGGUCUAUUGCUGACGCUAAAGUGCGAAAGCGUGGGGAGCAAACAGGAUUAGAUACCCCCGUAGUC